CUAUCUGGGACUCCUUGCUCUCUCGCAGAGCCUCCGUGGGCCCUCGUCCCCUGUACGGCGCUUACUCUGUUACGUGCAGGGCUGUUGGCCUGUUUCUAAGUCCAUCUACAGCGCGAGGCUGAGCACCCUUUCCUGGUAAGGAUGGCAACCGAGGGGCCCAGCUCCCGACAGGGCAUUUAAAAAUGUGGCCCACUUGCCCUGUUCUCAGAACUUUACCUUAAACUCGUGCAAUAAGAUUGAGAGGGUGAACGAAUGAGUGAGUGAGGAAUGAAUGAGGCCCCACCAGGGGGCGACGGCACUUUGCCACGGAGCCCUGGGCGGGGGAGGAGACAGGAAAGCUGCUUUCCCAUCGCCCCCUCCUCUGCGGGUCUCGGCGCCCCCCUUCCCAGCCCCACCAGGGAAUCGCCUCGCCCCGCCCGCCCCCUCCGCGCCUCAGAUAAUUAACUCGAACCAAUAAAACGCUGAUUGCGGCGCCUUUGUGCGCGCCGCCUCGGCAUUGUCAUGGAAAACGGGGUCCCCUCCCCAGCCGGGCUGCCCGCAGCUGGCCCGGAGUCGGCCCGAGCCACCUGGACGAGACCAGGGGACCCCCAAGCCGUCCGGCGCCCCGUCCAUCUGCUCCCCACCCCCACCGUCAGCUGCGGACCCCGCCGGGCCGGGGAGAGCGGGCGAGGGCUUCCAGCCGCGCCUCCGGGGCCAGCACCUCUCCCCUCCCGCGCCGCCCCGCCGGGCCCGAGCGGAGCGCGCAUCCCGGAUCCCGGAUCCCGGAUCCCGGGCCACGCGACUGGGGUCUGUCCUUCUUAGAGACCGCGGUGGAGGUGUGUUCCCGGGGAGGGAGUAACAAUAGCGGUGAGAAGCCAGAGUACCGAGGGAAAUGGUGGGAAAGCCCCUCACGCACGCACCAUUCUAUUCCUGGUCCCCCACAUAGCCUUACAGAAAUAUUCUAUCCCCGCCGGGCCCGAGCGGAGCGCGCAUCCCGGAUCCCGGAUCCCGGAUCCCGGGCCACGCGACUGGGGUCUGUCCUUCUUAGAGACCGCGGUGGAGCCUUACAGAAAUAUUCUAUCCCCGCCGGGCGCGGUGGCUCACGCCUGUAAUCCUAGCACUUUGGGAGGCCGAGACGGGCGGAACACCUGAGGUCCGGAGUUCGAGACCAGCCUGAGUCAAUAUGGAGAAACCUCAUCUCUGCUUAAAAUCCCCAAAAAAUUAGCUGGAUGUAGUGGCGCAGGCCUGUAAUCCCAGCUACUCGGGAGGCUGAGGCAGGAGAAUCGCUUGAGCCCGAGAGGCAGAGGUUGCGGAACCUGAGAUCGUGCCAUUGCACUCCAGCCUUGGCAACAAGAGCGAAACUCCGUCUCAAAAGAAAGAGAGAAAGAUAUUCUGUUAUGUGUGUGUGUAUAUACAUGCGACAAAUAACACAAGAAAACGAGUUGGACAUAACCAAUUUAAACAACGGGCUUCGGUUUUUGAAUUUGUUUUACAAGAUUGUUUCCCCUUCAUCCUCACCCUCCACGGCUGUCAGUUUAGGGGGUAUUUCCCCAGAGAGUUUUCUCCGCACGCACACUCAUAAAUGUGUCUGCACAUACACACGUAUUAAGCUGGAUAGAAUCCCGCGCUAUUAGCUAUGGGUCACUUUAUUUUACCUGACAAGUAAGGUAGGGAUCUUUUCAUGGCGUGGUUGCUGAGGAAAGAGACUGCCAUAGCCCUCCUGCUGCCUGCCCACACCUCAGCUCCCGCCCGGGACCUUCAGCCUGGGUGUGCCCUGCCAUCAGUCCUGUGUGCCUGUUCACCACCCGCUUUCAUCUGUGGAUAGAGGCUCUGCUCCUGCGUUCCUGUGUGAAUGGGUG
Callithrix jacchus (white-tufted-ear marmoset) is the source of this 1838-nucleotide long non-coding RNA. The record is from Ensembl. NCBI's taxonomy places the organism in Eukaryota, Metazoa, Chordata, Mammalia, Primates, Cebidae.